Molecule: long non-coding RNA, 368 nt
Filed under: Anas platyrhynchos platyrhynchos (common mallard)
Lineage: Eukaryota; Metazoa; Chordata; Aves; Anseriformes; Anatidae
Description: lncRNA (ENSAPLG00000021998.1)
Source: RNAcentral
GUUUUAUUUGCAUGCUCUGGAAUGGGUCUAACUACGAGACAGAGCAUGUUCCAUGUGUAGAGGCAGUCUUAAAGAGAUUCUAACUAUCAUCUAAAAAAAGAGAAAAGUAAGGUAAAUGCUCCUGGACAAGGUAGACUGGUGAAGGGAUCAGACAGAGAGGAGACUAGAAGCUGUUCUGCUGGGAAGUUCUCAGUCUGUUCAACUGGCAGCUGCUGGAGGCAAUGUAGAGAAAAGAUGUUUCCAGAGCAACUGCUGACAAGGGUCACAAAUGGGUCAAAUAUGGCAGGGAUAAGCCACAUAAUCUAUAUUUUUCCAAACUCAGUUUUUGGAAAUGGGCAUAAUCACAAGUUCAGAUGUGGAUCACUUUU